RNAcentral lists this ribosomal RNA (128 nucleotides) under Bacillota bacterium. RNAcentral's name for it is "partial 23S ribosomal RNA". It matches the Rfam family "Bacterial large subunit ribosomal RNA", at positions 2799 to 2925 of the family's 2925-position model. Lineage: Bacteria; Bacillati; Bacillota. The record is from RNAcentral.
UCAAGAUAAGGUUUCCCAUCCGGUUAACGGAGUAAGACCCCUGGUAGACCACCAGGUUGAUAGGCCGGGAGUGUAAGCGCAGCAAUGCGUUCAGCGGACCGGUACUAAUAGGUCGAGGGCUUGACCCG